GACGAACCGAGCGAACGUUGUUCGGAAUCACUGGGCUUAAAGGGCGCGUAGGCGGGUGCUCAAGUCCGUGGUGAAAUCCUCCGGCUCAACCGGAGAACUGCCUCGGAUACUGGGCGUCUCGAGUGUGGUAGGGGUAUGCGGAACUAUCGGUGGAGCGGUGAAAUGCGUUGAUAUCGAUAGGAACUCCGGUGGCGAAGGCGGCAUACUGGACCACCACUGACGCUGAUGCGCGAAAGCGUGGGGAGCAAACAGG
Molecule: ribosomal RNA, 253 nt
Filed under: uncultured bacterium
Lineage: Bacteria
Description: partial 16S ribosomal RNA
Rfam family: Bacterial small subunit ribosomal RNA
Source: RNAcentral